This 165-nucleotide microRNA precursor is filed under the name Oryza barthii. Its description in RNAcentral is "MIR812 microRNA precursor family". It matches the Rfam family "MIR812 microRNA precursor family", at positions 27 to 191 of the family's 205-position model. Lineage: Eukaryota; Viridiplantae; Streptophyta; Magnoliopsida; Poales; Poaceae. The record is from Rfam by way of RNAcentral.
UACAACGUUUGACUUUUCAUCUUAUUUAAAAAAAUUUUAUAAUUACUAUUUUUAUUGUUAUUAGAUGAUAAAACUUGAAUAAUACUUUAUGCAUAAUUAUUUUUUUAAUUUUUUUUAAAAAAAAUUAAAUAAGACAGAUAGUCAAAUGUUGGACAUAAAAAUCCA